This 422-nucleotide ribosomal RNA is filed under the name uncultured Thiobacillus sp. Its description in RNAcentral is "bacterial SSU rRNA". It matches the Rfam family "Bacterial small subunit ribosomal RNA", at positions 955 to 1382 of the family's 1533-position model. The record is from RNAcentral. Lineage: Bacteria; Pseudomonadati; Pseudomonadota; Betaproteobacteria; Nitrosomonadales; Thiobacillaceae.
UGCAACGCGAAAAACCUUACCUACCCUUGACAUGUCCGGAAUCCUGCAGAGAUGCGGGAGUGCCGAAAGGGAAUCGGAACACAGGUGCUGCAUGGCUGUCGUCAGCUCGUGUCGUGAGAUGUUGGGUUAAGUCCCGCAACGAGCGCAACCCUUAUCAUUAGUUGCUACGCAAGGGCACUCUAAUGAGACUGCCGGUGACAAACCGGAGGAAGGUGGGGAUGACGUCAAGUCCUCAUGGCCCUUAUGGGUAGGGCUUCACACGUCAUACAAUGGUCGGUACAGAGGGUUGCCAAGCCGCGAGGUGGAGCCAAUCCCAGAAAGCCGAUCGUAGUCCGGAUUGUUCUCUGCAACUCGAGAGCAUGAAGUCGGAAUCGCUAGUAAUCGCGGAUCAGCAUGUCGCGGUGAACACGUUCCCGGGUCUU